Chrysemys picta bellii (western painted turtle) is the source of this 1784-nucleotide non-coding RNA. NCBI's taxonomy places the organism in Eukaryota, Metazoa, Chordata, Testudines, Emydidae. The record is from RefSeq and is a predicted model, not a curated record.
GGGAGGGGGACGGAGAGGGUGCGCUCGGCGGCCAUGUUGGUGGUGUGGGUUCGCCGUUAGCUCGGAGGAGCGGCCGGGAAAUCGGAUUAAAAUGUCGGCAAGGGGAGGGCGGGAGCUGAAUACUCAGGGGCGAAUGCGUGGCUAGGCCUCUGUCCUGUACGAGAUGGUGCAAUGUUCCUGCCCUUCAUCGAUGGAAGAUAUACUGAUGCUGAGGAAAUGGAAUGCAACUGUCCCUCCCCUGCCUCUCUUUUUUUAAGCUGCAGGUACCCAUGCUCAGAAUUGAGCCAACACUCUGCCUUCUCCCUCCUCCUACAAAACUACCAGUUGGGAUUGAUGUAGGGGGUGCACUUCCGGCCUUAAUUUUAGCUGGAGUCAAAUAAAAAUAUUGCCAUGUUGGUAACUGAAGAAAAGGUAAAUGAUGUGGUGUAUGUUGUUGGAUCAAAAUGGCAAAAAUGUCUUACCCCUCAUGCUUCCUCUUUCAGAGGAAUGCAGAUGUUACAAAAAGCAGUUUUACCAAGUGCCGCAUUCUUUUUCUAGUUUCUUCACUGCCUGAGUCAGUAUCUGCUGGAAUAAUUUGUGCUAAGGAGGAGAAAUUAGGGUUUUGUUUUUUGAGAUGGUUGGGGAUAUAGAAUUGCAGAAGAACAGCUGUCUAAACUCUUCAAAUUAAAUCUGGCCUAGAUCUGUGCAGCUGGAACCUCUUCAUAUUAAGCAAAAGUGGUAAGUAUUUUGAUGGAGUACUUAAAUAAUGUUUGAUUUUCCUUCUGUGAAAGACUGUUCUUUGUUAUCUGCUAACAUGUCAGAGAUGAAUCAGCCUGCUUUUUCAUCUUUACGACAGACUUCCUGACCAGCAAACAGCGAAGUGUGGUGGCCAGAUUCUAGAAACAACUUUCUUCAAUGGAUGAUGUGUGGGAAGCCUGCUUUGUACACCUUCACUGCUGUCCCCUAUUUUUAGGAAUAUACAAUUUACUUUGAUUCCAAUGUUUUCUUUGCCUAAAGAAAAUAGGUUUCCUCUUCCUACGAAGACAUAGAAGGUUGAUGCUGGUCACAGCAGUUGCCAGGGAAGGCCAAUUUAAACAAAGCAGGGGGCAAUUGCAAUAUCAAGUUGCCUUGUAAGUCUGGUGCAUGAAAAGUGAUACAACAAAAUCUAUUCUAUAUUACAUAAUUCACUUUUUCCCCCACCAGUGUGGAACUUUCCAAUCUUUGUUACUGUCAGUCUGCAGCCAUCUGGUGAUGUUCAUUAAUCACAAUUUGCCAUAGCCUUCAGAAGUUUCACUUAUACAUGUCACACUGGAUCUGUAAAGUGAUUUUCUAGAAUUUCUAUGUUUUAAAUCAUUAAGGAUAUAGUUCCAAGUUACACAACAUGCUCACACUAGUGCUCUGUAGUGUAGCAGGAGAUGGUGCUGCAGUAGUGGAAGUGCUGUUACUUUGGAUAACAUGGUAAAAGUUUAAGUGGUUCUGUAGUUGAAGACUGAGCUUGACACUUCUCAAAAUAAGUAGGUGAAUCCUCUGUCUAUUCUAAUACUGCUUUUGUCAGUAAACUCAUUCCAGUGUCUGUACAACACCUCAGUCCCCAUUAUGUUUGCCUGUACUUGCACUGUUAGUGUAAUCUAACCUUUUAUGAUGGGAAGACACUUUAGACUGUCACAAUUGUUAAAGUGACUGUAGUCCAGUGGCUUUCAAACUUUUUUUCUGGCGACCCAGUUGAAGAAAAUUGAUGCCUACGACCCAACGGAGCUGGGGAUGAGGUGUUUGGGCAUGAGGGAGCUUAGGGCUGGGGCAGAGGG